CUCCACAAAAGUUAGUGUCAGAUAGAUUCGAUUAAAUAGUCUAACACAGUACAGAACCAUGAAAGCAUUUGCCCACCAUGAAGUUAGAAACACAAAUUGUUUGGAAAAAACAGGACCAAAAUUAAAAGAUCAAAUAAGGCAAUAUGAUGAUAUACAAAUUCAAUGAAUCAUGGUCUGUCUUCUUGUUCGCAAAAUAACUUCAUAAAUUAAUAUGAUAUACAAAUUCAAUGAAUCCAAUUUAAUCAAUGAAUCCAAUUAAUUUUAAUCAAUGAAUCCAUAAGCGUAUAUUUUUAGAUCAAUGAAUCCAAUUUAACCAUCAGCAUAUAUUUUUAGAUCAAUGAAUCCAAUUUAAUCAAGUUCAUAAUCAUAACCUGAAAACAAUAAGACAGACCAUAAUCAUAGUUUUACCUUCUUUCCCAGAGAUCUCAUCUUCUUCCACUUCUCAAACAAAUAGGGGAUCUUGUUGAAAAACAACACAAAAAGGUGAACGAAAAAUAAAAAUCGAAAAAUUGUGAAUGAAGAACAACAUAAGAAACUUUGUGAAUCUUGUACCGUCACGUGAUAAUAAAACCCAAAAAAGCAGAUCGGCUAACAUUUUGUUAGAAUAAAACUUUUUCAUGCUUGUGUCGUCAAAUAAUAAAUAAAUAUCAGGCUAAAUUUUUUCUGGGAAACAGUAAAAACCAUAAAAAAAAUUACAGAUUUGUUCUUAAGGUAUUUUAUAAAUGGUAUUGUAGGGAAUUUCAAUUUCGAAUGAACAUUGAGAGGUUCGAAAUAGUACGAUUUACCUUUACACAUCAAGUCCUACGCUCCAGAAAAUAUUCCGAUAUUUUACAGCCUUCUUCGUUAAUCUUGAGUUUUUGUCUAUUCGAAACCCCAAAGCCCUAAAUUUCUGGAAUUCUUCCGAAGAGAAAGUGCAAAAACCCAGAUGUUCUUCGAUCUUUCUUCGAUAAUCCGAUGAAUUUGUGACUGUUCGGAACACCCAAGCCCUAGUCUUCUAGUUUUUUCCCAUAUAGAAAGUGGAGGAGUGAAUUGCGGAAGGAAUCGAAUUUUUCCGAUUUACCUUCCUUGGUAAAUUCCCAUUUACCCCUUCCAGAAUUUUUAAAGCCUUUUUUUAGUGUUAUUCGAUUUUAAUAAUACUAAUCUGAAUAAAAGGGAGCCGUUUGAUCAAGUAAAUCACACGGUCCAGUUUUUUUCUCUAUUCUAUACUAUACAUUAAUUCUCCAUGGAUCC
Molecule: long non-coding RNA, 1230 nt
Filed under: Salvia miltiorrhiza (redroot sage)
Lineage: Eukaryota; Viridiplantae; Streptophyta; Magnoliopsida; Lamiales; Lamiaceae
Description: long non-coding RNA (SMIL_LNC004877)
Source: RNAcentral